This 573-nucleotide ribosomal RNA is filed under the name Exserohilum turcicum. RNAcentral's name for it is "eukaryotic LSU rRNA". The stretch from base 202 to 355 matches the Rfam family "5.8S ribosomal RNA". The record is from RNAcentral. Lineage: Eukaryota; Fungi; Ascomycota; Dothideomycetes; Pleosporales; Pleosporaceae.
UCCCGUAGGGUGAACCUGCGGAGGGAUCAUUACACAAAGAUAUGAAGGUAGGGUACUGGCAACAGUGCUCUGCUGAAAUAUUUUCACCCAUGUCUUUUGCGCACUUUUUGUUUCCUGGGCGAGUUUGCUCGCCACCAGGACCCCCAUAUGAACCUUUUUUGUUUUUGCACUCAGCGUCAGUACAAUAAUUUAAUCUAUUAAAACUUUCAACAACGGAUCUCUUGGUUCUGGCAUCGAUGAAGAACGCAGCGAAAUGCGAUACGUAGUGUGAAUUGCAGAAUUCAGUGAAUCAUCGAAUCUUUGAACGCACAUUGCGCCCUUUGGUAUUCCAAAGGGCAUGCCUGUUCGAGCGUCAUUUGUACCCUCAAGCUUUGCUUGGUGUUGGGCGUCUUAUUGUCUCUCCGUCUCGGGGAGACUCGCCUUAAAACAAUUGGCAGCCGGCCUACUGGUUUCGGAGCGCAGCACAAAUUUGCGCUUGCAAUCAGCCAAGGGCGGCAUCCAUGAAGCCUUUUUUCUCUCACAUUUUGACCUCGGAUCAGGUAGGGAUACCCGCUGAACUUAAGCAUAUCAAUA